Long non-coding RNA from Zeugodacus cucurbitae (melon fly), 675 nucleotides. RefSeq lists it as uncharacterized. The record is from RefSeq and is a predicted model, not a curated record. The transcript has 3 exons. NCBI's taxonomy places the organism in Eukaryota, Metazoa, Arthropoda, Insecta, Diptera, Tephritidae.
UAAAAAUAAAAUAAAAAAUAUUUAAAUAACUUAAAUUAGUAAGCAAUUCAAAACAAGUUGCAACAAUAAAAAAUAUUGCCAAUAGUUGAAGUGCACAAGUACUAAUAGUGAAAACAACAAGACCACGAACUAGUUGACCUUCUCGUAAGAAACGCUGCACCAAGUCAAAGUGUUAGACGCCAAACACCAACGGCAGUAACACUCAGAAAAGUGGCAAUGCAAAUAAAUGCAAACCGGCCAAGCCGAUUCUUACACAUGCAUCCGUACAUACAUGAAUAUGCGAGCUUAAGAGCGCUAAAACGACAGUUUAGUAAAGUAUCUAAUUGCAUUUUUGAAAUGAGUAACACUCAUGACUACGGAAACAACAAAGAGACGUCGAAAACAACAAAAACCGCAAUACUCGUAAACAUGAUGACUUUUUACUGAUGGAUUUGGUUUUGAUGCCAAAGCAUUAAUGCGAAAAUGUAAUGCAUAUUAAGGUGGUGCAAACAAGUGUGUACUUACGCCAGGGCUUCCUCAAUUGUCGAAACACUUCUCAAACUCGAUUUUCAGGAUGACCCUUGACGCUUUGAGCAAUUGUUUCAAAUCUUGUAAAACGACGACCCAUUCAAUAUUCUUUUGGUUUUUGGAAAAAGGAAAAGGUAAACAUAAAAUUUUGGCAAUUGCAAAUUAUAA